This 496-nucleotide ribosomal RNA is filed under the name uncultured bacterium. RNAcentral's name for it is "bacterial SSU rRNA". It matches the Rfam family "Bacterial small subunit ribosomal RNA", at positions 29 to 507 of the family's 1533-position model. The record is from RNAcentral.
AUGAACGCUGGCGGCGUGCCUAAUACAUGCAAGUCGAACGCGCAGCGAGAGGUGCUUGCACCUUUCAAGCGAGUGGCGAACGGGUGAGUAACACGUGGAUAACCUGCCUCAAGGCUGGGGAUAACAUUUGGAAACAGAUGCUAAUACCGAAUAAAACUUAGUAUCGCAUGAUAUCAAGUUAAAAGGCGCUACGGCGUCACCUAGAGAUGGAUCCGCGGUGCAUUAGUUAGUUGGUGGGGCAAAGGCUUACCAAGACGAUGAUGCAUAGCCGAGUUGAGAGACUGAUCGGCCACAUUGGGACUGAGACACGGCCCAAACUCCUACGGGAGGCUGCAGUAGGGAAUCUUCCACAAUGGGCGCAAGCCUGAUGGAGCAACGCCGCGUGUGUGAUGAAGGCUUUCGGGUCGUAAAGCACUGUUGUAUGGGAAGAAAUGCUAAAAUAGGGAAUGAUUUUAGUUUGACGGUACCAUACCAGAAAGGGACGGCUAAAUACGUG